GAUGAACGCUGGCGGCGUGCCUAAUACAUGCAAGUCGAGCGAGCGGACGAGAAGCUUGCUUCUCUGAUGUUAGCGGCGGACGGGUGAGUAACACGUGGAUAACCUACCUAUAAGACUGGGAUAACUUCGGGAAACCGGAGCUAAUACCGGAUAAUAUUUUGAACCGCAUGGUUCAAAAGUGAAAGACGGUCUUGCUGUCACUUAUAGAUGGAUCCGCGCUGCAUUAGCUAGUUGGUAAGGUAACGGCUUACCAAGGCAACGAUGCAUAGCCGACCUGAGAGGGUGAUCGGCCACACUGGAACUGAGACACGGUCCAGACUCCUACGGGAGGCAGCAGUAGGGAAUCUUCCGCAAUGGGCGAAAGCCUGACGGAGCAAGGCCGCGUGAGUGAUGAAGGUCUUCGGAUCGUAAAACUCUGUUAUUAGGGAAGAACAGAUGUGUAAGUAACUGUGCACAUAUUGACGGUACCUAAUCAGAAAGCCACGGCUAACUACGUG
Molecule: ribosomal RNA, 497 nt
Filed under: uncultured bacterium
Lineage: Bacteria
Description: partial 16S ribosomal RNA
Rfam family: Bacterial small subunit ribosomal RNA
Source: RNAcentral